AGCGAACGCUGGCGGCAGGCCUAAUACAUGCAAGUCGAGCGGGUCCUUCGGGAUUAGCGGCGGACGGGUGAGUAACGCGUGGGAACGUGCCCUUUGGUACGGAACAACUGAGGGAAACUUCAGCUAAUACCGUAUGUGCCCUUCGGGGAAAGAUUUAUCGCCAUUGGAGCGGCCCGCGUUGGAUUAGGUAGUUGGUGAGGUAAAGGCUCACCAAGCCUACGAUCCAUAGGCUGGUCUGAGAGGAUGACCAGCCACACUGGGACUGAGACACGGCCCAGACUCCUACGGGAGGCAGCAGUAGGGAAUCUUGCGCAAUGGGCGAAAGCCUGACGCAGCCAUGCCGCGUGAAUGAUGAAGGUCUUAGGAUUGUAAAUUACUUUCUACC
Molecule: ribosomal RNA, 385 nt
Filed under: uncultured bacterium
Lineage: Bacteria
Description: bacterial SSU rRNA
Rfam family: Bacterial small subunit ribosomal RNA
Source: RNAcentral